Long non-coding RNA from Epinephelus fuscoguttatus (brown-marbled grouper), 414 nucleotides. RefSeq lists it as uncharacterized. The transcript has 3 exons. NCBI's taxonomy places the organism in Eukaryota, Metazoa, Chordata, Actinopteri, Perciformes, Serranidae. The record is from RefSeq and is a predicted model, not a curated record.
GACCUGUGUUGUACAGGCCCACUGGGCAGUCCAUGUUGUGAACCUUGGAGCACCCUGAGGACUCAAACACACAGGAAUUCUGCUCAGAAAAAGACGUUUGUCAAAGGACCAUGAGAUUGUCUGUAAUCCUUCUGUUUCUCCAACUGUGGGGGAAUGUGGAAAUGUCUUCAUCACAGAAUGCAUGUUCGAAGCUUCCAGAUGUUCCUCAUGCCCAGGUGUCAGAUCAGCAACAGCAGUACCAAGAAGGAGACCUGAUACAGUUCACUUGUAAACCUGGUUAUACUGCAUCAGUUCCAGCCAUGAAAUAUUUAUGCAUGAGCGAGGGCUGGCGGGUAGUUCGUCAAGGAACAUGCUACUUUUCAGGUCCGAACUGUACCCCCCCACCUGCAGAUGCAGGUGUGAUAGUAAAGGUUU